Anolis carolinensis (green anole) is the source of this 1789-nucleotide long non-coding RNA. RefSeq lists it as uncharacterized. The transcript is spliced from 2 exons. The record is from RefSeq and is a predicted model, not a curated record. NCBI's taxonomy places the organism in Eukaryota, Metazoa, Chordata, Lepidosauria, Squamata, Anolidae.
CCUAUUGUUGGGAACCCAAGGAGAGCCUGGAUAAACAACGGAAGAGCCUUGAGAUGACCAUGAUAGAUGUGCUUGCAAAGGCGGGGAGACUUUGAAAAAGCAAAGGGAUAAUGAAGAACAACUUUGCCUGAACUCGAAGUCCUCUCCCAGGCUAACAUUUUUGAAAUUGCUGACGUCUACAAAAGAAAAACAGGAGAUAAGUUGGGCAUCCCAGGGCCCUGCCUUCUUGUUACUCCUAUCACUCUCUCCUGUGAGCUGUACUCCCUUCUCCCGCUUUCAAGAGGAGAAAGUGACACUUUCUGAGCUUUCAGUACUUUGGGGAGUUUUUUUUUUGUAUCUGCAGGUGCAGCCAAGACCUUGGCAAGUGACAGGCUGAUUAGCUCAUGUUGGAAAAACAGCAACACUGUCUUGUUAAUUCUUCUUCAAGGUCUUGAGCAAAGCAUAAAUUCAGAUGAAAAGGAAAGUGGGGUAUUUAGAAUCCCAGGCAGCAAAUCAGGUGGCUUGUCAUGUCAACAUCUGUGGAAGCUGCUGAGAUUUUCAUCAAUUUCUGCUCAUUGUUCCUUUUUCCUAUGCAUAUACUUCUUUGAGAAUCUGAUCUAAAGAGGCAUACGGCAUGGGAAAAUGGGGCAAUUGAGGUAUUCCUCCACCAUCCGACUCAUCUUCAUGAAUCAGCUUUUGAAGGUAUUGCCAUUUGAAGUUAACACCUGCUAAAUGGACUGGACAGUUUUUUUUGGGUUUUUUUGUUGUUGUUUUUUUUGCAAAGUGUAUAUUUCAGCCUUGCAUGUCAGUACUUUUUGCAUCUCACUUAGCUUUUAUGUGAAUGGCUAUUUACAAAUGCUUUCUUAAGUCUGCAUAAAUGUCUUCAUAUUGUCUGUAGACAUAUAUUAUGACUUGCAUAGAAGACUGUCAAUCCUUUUAACAGCUUCUUAGCAAGCAAAGUUCAGCAGGAGCAGUUUAUCCUUCCAUAAGCGCUUGCUGAUAUAAAACUAACAGCAAUUGUUCAUGUCUACCAAUGCAACAUAAAUGUAAUGGAGGAGAAUGUUAUGUUGUUAUUUGCUCAUCACAAGCCACAAAAUUAAUUUCUUCUUUGUUUCCUCCACAGGCUAUUUUUCAUGCAAUGCUCAUUGUUUAAAGACAAGUUGCAUUAGCGGAUUCUUUCAUUGCUUUUCACCCUGAGUCCUCUCGGGGAGAUAGGACAGAAUAUAAAUAAAGUCUAAGUAUUAUUAUUUCAUGUUUUUGUCUUUUUUUUAAGCCAAGGAAAACCAUUUUAUAAGGUUACAAUUAUAAUUAUAAUAUGAUUCUAUAGGAUAAAAAGAGAGGAAAGGAAAGUGUGUCCAGUAAAUAAUGUACCAAAAAUUUCCAGGCCUCCAAACUGUAUAAGUUAGGUAUUUUUAAGUGUGUCUUAAAUCUGCAUUCCUAAGCAUGCUCAAACCUACUUAGCGACAUUCAGAGCAUGUACAGAGUUACACUGUGACUUGGUUAGCAGUUAGUUUGAGUGCAUACUUCAAAUGAAUAGUAAUCCAACUUUAUGCAUGUUACCAUUAAAGCCUAUAAAUUUCCAUGGUCUUUACUUCUUGCUAUGCCUAGCUAGGAUUGUUGUGCAAUGGAUCUAAUAUUUUUUAUUUAAAACUAUACAUGAAAAUAUAUUGAAUUUGAAUAUGCAUUGUAAUGAUAUCCAAAAAGUCCAAAAUAGUUAUUUCAAUGGUUCUGUUGACUUUCAUGUGAUGUGUAACUGGCUGCUUUGUUUAUUUCUUUUGAGAUGUUGAACAAUAAAAUUAAUCUAUCUGGA